UACGUAGGGGGCUAGCGUUGUCCGGAUUUAUUGGGCUUAAAGGGUGCGUAGGCGGCCAACUAAGUCAGACGUGAAAUCCCUCGGCUUAACCGGGGAACUGCAUCUGAUACUGGAUGGCUUGAGAUUGGGAGAGGGAUGCGGAAUUCCAGGUGUAGCGGUGAAAUGCUUAGAUGUCGUCAAGAACACCUAUAGCGAAGGCAGCUUACUAGGCUGUAACUGACGCUGAGGCACGAAAGUGUGGGGAUCAAACAGG
RNAcentral lists this ribosomal RNA (253 nucleotides) under uncultured bacterium. RNAcentral describes it as "partial 16S ribosomal RNA". It matches the Rfam family "Bacterial small subunit ribosomal RNA", at positions 524 to 776 of the family's 1533-position model. The record is from RNAcentral.